UUAACCAAAACCAAAAAGAGGUAUAUUAUUGUUAAUAAUAGAAUUGAAAAAAUUUUUUUUCUGGUUA
RNAcentral lists this transfer RNA (67 nucleotides) under Gonodactylaceus randalli. RNAcentral describes it as "tRNA-Asn". Lineage: Eukaryota; Metazoa; Arthropoda; Malacostraca; Stomatopoda; Gonodactylidae. The record is from RNAcentral.